CCGAGAAAAGCCUCCCCUCAGUCCGGUAGAUGUCAAGAAGGCUGUCUCUCUCUUCCCCCAACUUAAGAUUGACCAUGACGCCCAAGAGCUGUGUUACGUAUACAGAUGUAGGAUAACCCGACGGGGAUGGUACGGCAUUUGCAAUGGAUUCGGCAUUGUUCCGGCUUUGACCUCCGACCUACGACGGAAAGAGGCACGUAUGGCGCAUGGUGCACACCAUGAUUCUCCCCAUCCACCUUGAGCGGAAUGAUGAAUCCGACACCAGAGCUAACUUUUUGCGGCUUUUCUUGUUUUGUGCGCAAUUUGUAUUUGAUUUAUUCAAUAACGUGAAUCCUCCACAAUGCACAUGAAGUCAUGAACCUCACAUUUAUCACACAGCCAAAGACAUAUCUGUGUUCGAAUCUAUGCCGAGACAUUUGCGUAAAAUCUUAAAAGGGCAAUAAUUGGCUGAAUGAUGAACUUGUGGAGGGUUUCACAAAUGAAAAAGCUAAUCAAUUUCUAUUUCGGUUUCCCUUCCAUUUCCCCCUUCCUUUUUCGUUUCUGGGAAGUCCCUUAAAUAUCCCAAUGAUAUUAAACACAGCACACAGGUUGUACAAGUACCUCCUAGUCUAGCCAACAUGUUCAGCAAGGCUAAGAACUUAGAAUAACCACGACUCGUGCAAAGGCAAAUCGACCCUCAGUAAUAACACACUCUCAUUUUCCCAACAAUGGACAUUCGGCUCAGAGUACUAUAAAUCCACCAUCUUCACUAUCAAUUUUACCAGGUAUGAAUGAACAAAAGAAGAGGUACAUGGGCAAGAGACAUCCACACAUCAAAAGACAAUUUACUAGUACCAGAAGAAUAGAAGAAUUCAGAAUCCCAAACUCUACACUGGUCUUACAAUACGAAAUGUACCAUCAAAAAAUUACAAGUAAACAACACCAAAAGGAUAUCAAACUGGUAGAACACCGUUAAUUUGCUAAUAAUAUGAUCCUAAUUAACGCAAGUGUAACACACCAUACACUACUUACAUUUGCCGCCACCACAGAUGGAUAACACUAUGAUCAGUAUUAAGGCAACAAGGAUACCAAGAACUAUAAGCUUUAUCUUCAUAUUCUGAAACCACAUCUUCCUCCUCAUUUGGGUACCCUGAGUCCUGAAGUCUUGUGCCUG
Rhododendron vialii is the source of this 1153-nucleotide long non-coding RNA. RefSeq lists it as uncharacterized. The record is from RefSeq and is a predicted model, not a curated record. The transcript is spliced from 2 exons. Lineage: Eukaryota; Viridiplantae; Streptophyta; Magnoliopsida; Ericales; Ericaceae.